Molecule: small nuclear RNA, 103 nt
Organism: Monodelphis domestica (gray short-tailed opossum)
Lineage: Eukaryota; Metazoa; Chordata; Mammalia; Didelphimorphia; Didelphidae
Source: Ensembl
UUGCUUCAGAAGUACAUAUACUAAAAUUGGAACAAUACAGAGAAGAUUAGCACUGCUCCUGUGCAAGGAUUACAUGCAAAUUCAUGAAGCAUUUAAAAAACCA